This 143-nucleotide small nucleolar RNA is filed under the name Pogona vitticeps (central bearded dragon). RNAcentral describes it as "Small Cajal body specific RNA 11 (ENSPVIG00000012397.1)". It matches the Rfam family "Small Cajal body specific RNA 11". Rfam says of the family: scaRNAs are a specific class of small nuclear RNAs which localise to the Cajal bodies and guide the modification of RNA polymerase II transcribed spliceosomal RNAs U1, U2, U4, U5 and U12. ACA57 belongs to the H/ACA box class of guide RNAs as it has the predicted hairpin-hinge-hairpin-tail structure, conserved H/ACA-box motifs and is found associated with GAR1. The record is from Rfam by way of RNAcentral. Lineage: Eukaryota; Metazoa; Chordata; Lepidosauria; Squamata; Agamidae.
CCGUCCAGCCACCAACUCUCGCUCCUCUCUCUCGAUCUGUGGUAGAGGGAGAGGGCUUGGGGUGGACGUAAAGCAGAAUGACUCUUACAUUAGGAGGGCUCUGUUGGAGUGGUGAGCUGCCCUCAAAGGCACAAGAGAACAUC